AUUGAACGCUGGCGGCAGGCCUAACACAUGCAAGUCGAACGGUAACAGGGAUCAGCUUGCUGAUUCGCUGACGAGUGGCGGACGGGUGAGUAAUGUCUGGGAAACUGCCUGAUGGAGGGGGAUAACUACUGGAAACGGUAGCUAAUACCGCAUAACGUCGCAAGACCAAAGAGGGGGACCUUCGGGCCUCUUGCCAUCGGAUGUGCCCAGAUGGGAUUAGCUAGUAGGUGGGGUAACGGCUCACCUAGGCGACGAUCCCUAGCUGGUCUGAGAGGAUGACCAGCCACACUGGAACUGAGACACGGUCCAGACUCCUACGGGAGGCAGCAGUGGGGAAUAUUGCACAAUGGGCGCAAGCCUGAUGCAGCCAUGCCGCGUGUAAGAAGAAGGCCUUCGGGUUGUAAAGUACUUUCAGCGGGGAGGAAGGGAGUAAAGUUAAUACCUUUGCUCAUUGACGUUACCCGCAGAAGAAGCACCGGCUAACUCCGUG
RNAcentral lists this ribosomal RNA (490 nucleotides) under uncultured bacterium. Its description in RNAcentral is "partial 16S ribosomal RNA". It matches the Rfam family "Bacterial small subunit ribosomal RNA", at positions 30 to 507 of the family's 1533-position model. The record is from RNAcentral.